Molecule: transfer RNA, 82 nt
Filed under: Candidatus Aenigmatarchaeota archaeon
Lineage: Archaea; Nanobdellati; Candidatus Aenigmatarchaeota
Description: tRNA-Arg
Rfam family: tRNA
About the family: Transfer RNA (tRNA) molecules are approximately 80 nucleotides in length. Their secondary structure includes four short double-helical elements and three loops (D, anti-codon, and T loops). Further hydrogen bonds mediate the characteristic L-shaped molecular structure. tRNAs have two regions of fundamental functional importance: the anti-codon, which is responsible for specific mRNA codon recognition, and the 3' end, to which the tRNAs corresponding amino acid is attached (by aminoacyl-tRNA synthetases). tRNAs cope with the degeneracy of the genetic code in two manners: having more than one tRNA (with a specific anti-codon) for a particular amino acid; and 'wobble' base-pairing, i.e. permitting non-standard base-pairing at the 3rd anti-codon position.
Source: RNAcentral
GCCUUCGUAGCUCAGCUUGGAUAGAGCAGCUCCCUUCUAGGGAGCAAGGAGAAGGUCGAGGGUUCAAAUCCCUCCGAGGGCA